This 754-nucleotide ribosomal RNA is filed under the name uncultured Acinetobacter sp. RNAcentral's name for it is "bacterial SSU rRNA". It matches the Rfam family "Bacterial small subunit ribosomal RNA", at positions 28 to 776 of the family's 1533-position model. Lineage: Bacteria; Pseudomonadati; Pseudomonadota; Gammaproteobacteria; Moraxellales; Moraxellaceae. The record is from RNAcentral.
AUUGAACGCUGGCGGCAGGCUUAACACAUGCAAGUCGAGCGGGGAAGGGUAGCUUGCUACCUGACCUAGCGGCGGACGGGUGAGUAAUGCUUAGGAAUCUGCCUAUUAGUGGGGGACAACAUUCCGAAAGGAAUGCUAAUACCGCAUACGCCCUACGGGGGAAAGCAGGGGAUCUUCGGACCUUGCGCUAAUAGAUGAGCCUAAGUCAGAUUAGCUAGUUGGUGGGGUAAAGGCCUACCAAGGCGACGAUCUGUAGCAGGUCUGAGAGGAUGAUCCGCCACACUGGGACUGAGACACGGCCCAGACUCCUACGGGAGGCAGCAGUGGGGAAUAUUGGACAAUGGGCGCAAGCCUGAUCCAGCCAUGCCGCGUGUGUGAAGAAGGCCUUUUGGUUGCAAAGCACUUUAAGCGAGGAGGAGGCUACUUGGAUUAAUACUCUAGGAUAGUGGACGUUACUCGCAGAAUAAGCACCGGCUAACUCUGUGCCAGCAGCCGCGGUAAUACAGAGGGUGUGAGCGUUAAUCGGAUUUACUGGGCGUAAAGCGUGCGUAGGCGGCUUUUUAAGUCGGAUAUGAAAUCCCUGAGCUUAACUUAGGAAUUGCAUUCGAUACUGGGAAGCUAGAGUAUGGGAGAGGAUGGUAGAAUUCCAGGUGUAGCGGUGAAAUGCGUAGAGAUCUGGAGGAAUACCGAUGGCGAACGCAGCCAUCUGGCCUAAUACUGACGCUGAGGUACGAAAGCAUGGGGAGCAAACAGG